UACGGGGGGAGCAAGCGUUGUUCGGAUUUACUGGGCGUAAAGGGCGCGUAGGCGGCCACCGCAAGUCGACUGUGAAAUCUCCGGGCUUAACCCGGAAAGGUCAGCCGAUACUGCGGGGCUAGAGUGCAGAAGGGGCAACUGGAAUUCUCGGUGUAGCGGUGAAAUGCGUAGAUAUCAGGAGGAACACCAAUGGCGAAGGCAGCUCGCUGGAACGGUACUGACGCUGAGGCACGAAAGCGUGGGGAGCGAACAGG
Molecule: ribosomal RNA, 254 nt
Filed under: uncultured bacterium
Lineage: Bacteria
Description: partial 16S ribosomal RNA
Rfam family: Bacterial small subunit ribosomal RNA
Source: RNAcentral